RNAcentral lists this transfer RNA (73 nucleotides) under Canis lupus familiaris (dog). It matches the Rfam family "tRNA". From Rfam's summary of the family: Transfer RNA (tRNA) molecules are approximately 80 nucleotides in length. Their secondary structure includes four short double-helical elements and three loops (D, anti-codon, and T loops). Lineage: Eukaryota; Metazoa; Chordata; Mammalia; Carnivora; Canidae. RNAcentral also lists the same sequence under 1 other name. The record is from Rfam by way of RNAcentral.
GCCUGGCUGGCUCAGUUGGUAGAGCAUGCAACUCCUGAUUUCAGAGUCAUGAAUUUGAGCCCCAUGUUGGGCA